CCCUUAGACGUUCUGGGCCGCACGCGCGCUACACUGACGAAGGCAACGAGCUACUCUUCACCGAAAGGUGUGGGUAAUCUUUUGAAACUUCGUCGUGCUGGGGAUAGAUCCUUGCAAUUUUUGAUCUUAAACGAGGAAUUCCUAGUAGGCGCAAGUCAUCAGCUUGCGUCGAUUACGUCCCUGCCCUUUGUACACACCGCCCGUCGCUCCUACCGAUUGGGUGUGCUGGUGAAAUGUUCGGAUCGGCCGUUUGUCGCGGUUUCCGCGUCAUGUGGCUGAGAAGUUCAUUAAACCCUCCCACCUAGAGGAAGGAGAAGUCGUAACA
RNAcentral lists this ribosomal RNA (325 nucleotides) under uncultured eukaryote. Its description in RNAcentral is "partial 18S ribosomal RNA". It matches the Rfam family "Eukaryotic small subunit ribosomal RNA", at positions 1470 to 1796 of the family's 1831-position model. The record is from RNAcentral.